GAUGAACGCUGGCGGCGUGCCUAAUACAUGCAAGUCGAGCGAACAGAUAAGGAGCUUGCUCCUUUGACGUUAGCGGCGGACGGGUGAGUAACACGUGGGUAACCUACCUAUAAGACUGGAAUAACUCCGGGAAACCGGGGCUAAUGCCGGAUAACAUUUAGAACCGCAUGGUUCUAAAGUGAAAGAUGGUUUUGCUAUCACUUAUGGAUGGACCCGCGCCGUAUUAGCUAGUUGGUAAGGUAACGGCUUACCAAGGCAACGAUACGUAGCCGACCUGAGAGGGUGAUCGGCCACACUGGAACUGAGACACGGUCCAGACUCCUACGGGAGGCAGCAGUAGGGAAUCUUCCGCAAUGGGCGAAAGCCUGACGGAGCAACGCCGCGUGAGUGAUGAAGGUCUUCGGAUCGUAAAACUCUGUUAUUAGGGAAGAACAAAUGUGUAAGUAACUGUGCACGUCUUGACGGUACCUAAUCAGAAAGCCACGGCUAACUACGUG
RNAcentral lists this ribosomal RNA (497 nucleotides) under uncultured bacterium. RNAcentral's name for it is "partial 16S ribosomal RNA". It matches the Rfam family "Bacterial small subunit ribosomal RNA", at positions 28 to 507 of the family's 1533-position model. The record is from RNAcentral.